UACGGGGGGGGCAAGCGUUGUUCGGAAUUACUGGGCGUAAAGGGCUCGUAGGCGGCCAACUAAGUCGGAUGUGAAAUCCCCAGGCUUAACCUGGGAACUGCAUCCGAUACUGGAUGGCUUGAAUCCGGGAGAGGGAUGCAGAAUUCCAGGUGUAGCGGUGAAAUGCGUAGAUAUCGGGAGGAACACCGGUGGCGAAGGCGGCUCUCUGGGACGGUACUGACGCUGAGACGCGAAAGCGUGGGGAGCGAACAGG
Molecule: ribosomal RNA, 253 nt
Filed under: uncultured bacterium
Lineage: Bacteria
Description: partial 16S ribosomal RNA
Rfam family: Bacterial small subunit ribosomal RNA
Source: RNAcentral